Molecule: long non-coding RNA, 357 nt
Organism: Ruditapes philippinarum (Manila clam)
Lineage: Eukaryota; Metazoa; Mollusca; Bivalvia; Venerida; Veneridae
Exons: 3
Source: RefSeq, a predicted model, not a curated record
UGAUCAUAAUUCGUAAACCAAUCAAAUGGUGCUGUCAAAGACUAUUUACAACUUGCCAUUUAUUUUGCAUGGUCAUAAAGCAUGUUUAUUGAGUAAAUUUUGGGUAGACUAGAAGAAAUAUCUAUUGUUUACAGCACUACUGUUUAUUUGGACUUAAUUGGAAGACAUUCAUAUGACACGUUAGUUUACAUAGAAAAGUGUAAAAGAAGGAUAAAAAAUUCAUACUACACAUGGAAUUUUAUAUGCUAGUGAACUAAGUGGAUUAAAUACAAAAGACAUUCAAAUGGAUUUAUAAACACUUUUAAGCAGUAUGUAGCCAAACAGAGGAAAGACAAUGAAGUUGAUAUUGUAACUGUA